Molecule: long non-coding RNA, 1364 nt
Filed under: Marmota monax (woodchuck)
Lineage: Eukaryota; Metazoa; Chordata; Mammalia; Rodentia; Sciuridae
Source: RNAcentral
GAAUAGUUCAUUUAAGAAGAGUCAAAUCAUCAGGUAGAACAGAUGAGAAAGUCCAUAAAAUAACUUUCAAGUAUUUACACAUUUGAAUUCCUUCAAACACGACACCAAAGAGAUAUGUAGAAAGAAUGUCUUUUCAAUAAAUAGUAUUAGAUCAACUGAAUAUGUAUAUGGCGUGGGGGAAGGACUUUGAUGCUUACAUCACAGUAGAUAGAAAAAUCAAUUCCAUAUGGUUUGCAGAUAUAAAUGAGCAAGAAACAGUAAUCUUUGAAGAUUAUAGUAAAAUCUCUUGAGGUCUGUGAGAGUAGAAAAUCAUUUUAACCUUGAUAAGCAGCACAACAUUAAAAUUUUGUUUAUUGAUAGAUACUAUUAAAGACUGACAGAGUAGCAUUGGAUAUGUGGUACAAAUGUAGCUAGUAAAAUUCAAAUUGUCAUUAUGAGAUUCCUCUACACUUAAUAAGAUGGUGUGAAAUCAUCAAGUCACAUAAUACUGUAAUAGCAUGUGGAGUGAACCACAGAACCAAAAAGGAUUGAUAUAAGGACUUAAAGAACUCCUCAGAAUUUCCUACUAAAGUUGAAUGACACAUUCCUGAAGACCAGCAAUUUCACAUCUAGGUUUCUGUUCAAAAGAAUCAUGUGCACUUGUGCACUCAAAGACCUAACCAAACACAUUUUUUGACUGCCUUAUCUUGCAUUUGUCAAUGAAAACAACUCAAAUAUCCCUUAAACAUAGAAUCAGCAAAAUCUUAUAUAUUCAUCUACCAGAAUACAGCAAUAAACAUUAAUGAACUCCCAUGGAAACAACUUUAAAACGUAAAGUAUUUAUGGACAGUCUUUCUGCUUACCUCUGAAAUCCAACCCCAGUUCAGAGUUGAAUUGAGAAUCACCCAGCUGACAAUCAAGCAUGGCUUUGCUAAAAAGUGGAGUGCACAGGAGGAGACUUUUGUUUCUACUAAGGAGGUAGAAAGUGGAAAAGAGUGUUGCUUUCAUCCUAACACCAAGAAAAGGUCAGAUGAACUACAUCAUGGUAAUGUUCUCAAGCUUGUCAUAGAGCUUGGAUUUUAGGAUAGUCAAGUGACCUGAAGUCCGUGGAAUGACAGAUCCCUCAAGCAGAGCCAUCAGGAGAGCAGAGAAACUGUUGUUUUCUGAUUUAGAUCUAGAUGGUGCAUAGAGACCACUGGGGAGUUCUCUCAGGCAAAAAGUCAUAUAAAUGCUAAUUUUCCCCAGGUGAGCUUCCUUAUUUCAAAUGUUGAGAUUGCUCUAAAUUUUCCUAUUUUUCAUCUCUCUUCAAAAGAUGUUUUUUUUAAAAAAAAUUUGAGAAGUUAUAAUUGUAAUUGUUAUAAGCCAAAGGAUUAGUCUCAUACAAG